This 24-nucleotide microRNA is filed under the name Gossypium raimondii (Peruvian cotton). RNAcentral's name for it is "gra-miR8778". The record is from miRBase by way of RNAcentral. Lineage: Eukaryota; Viridiplantae; Streptophyta; Magnoliopsida; Malvales; Malvaceae.
UUUCCAUAUUAGGGUUUGAACUUU